This 33494-nucleotide long non-coding RNA is filed under the name Triticum aestivum (bread wheat). Its description in RNAcentral is "long non-coding RNA (TAES_LNC012485)". The record is from RNAcentral. Lineage: Eukaryota; Viridiplantae; Streptophyta; Magnoliopsida; Poales; Poaceae.
UGAAAACCCCGACAGCCCGUUUGAUACGCGAGUUUUCCACAGCCCAAUCCCUCCGAGCCCCCUCCGAUACCCCCCUUUCCACGCGGUUUUCAGCCCUCGAGGGGGGACUCGAGGAUUCAGAGGAGUCGCCACCGCCGCCGCCCGACUCCUCCUCAAGACGCCGCCGCCCGCCGCCUUUACGCCGACGUAUCUCCUCCGGCAUACCCCUGGCUGUACGUCCUCACCUCACCUCGCCUCCCCUCACCCCCUUUCCUCUCGUCAUCUAGGUUUCUUCCACCCCCCCGGCCAUGGCUGCUGCCUCGUCCUCCGCAGCAAGCUCGCCAAGUGCGCCGUCUUUGAGGGCAACUAGGCCGUCACCAAGUCCCAUCUCCUCCUCCUCCUCCUCCUAGGCUGCCGUUGGCUUUGCCUAUCUCUCUCCAAGUAGUGGCAGUGGGGCAGUGAUAGUGCUCUGCUUAUCUCUCUGCAGGUAGUGUCCAGACCCAUCUUAGUAUUCGACAGAUUUGAUAUUGAUUGACAUGCCCUUUGGCCGAAUUUUAUUAGAAGUCAAUACGGAUGUACUUAAGCAGAUUUAUUAGAACCCAUGGAUGCUGCAGUUCUUCGGUCUGGAGCAGACAGUUGCUUCAGAGAUCAUUGUCUUUUCCUGAGAAGAAUUGAUGUAUUGAUGCUUUAUUCAGCUAUUCUUGGACCACUACUGUUGUUGCGUCCGUGGUCAUAAACCCAACCUAGUUAUUAUUUCUGGAAAUUGUUUAUACUAAGUAGGCUUGAACCAGAUUGCUGCUGGUACUAAGUACAUUGUUACUUGUUCUUGUCUGUCUGAAACAAAUCUGGAAGGGUACUUAGUACUUGCUUGUUUUUCCCUACAUAGUACAACUUAAUUACACCGCUAGCUAGCUGGUGACUCUACAAGAAAGAAGCAACCAGCAACCACACACAACACAAAAGUUCGACCGACAAACUUAAAGCUCCUGGUAUCUUGUUGCUCACGCCUCAGGUUGCAAGGUGGACGGGCCAUCCCGCAACAACGCUGCGCUGACCCGCAAAAAAUCCCACAAAGAUGCUGCUGGGCUGACCGCAUUUUCUUUGUUACUGUUUCAUGCCAAAUUAAUUAGUUAGUUACUGUUUCAGCUACAUAUAUAGUAUCUUUGUCUGUAUGAUCAAGUAGCACUAGUACCAGUUCAUCUUUGUAUGAUUAGUGCCAUGAUGGAUUCAUAAGAUGAUACAUGUGAUUUAUCUAGUUCAUCUUUGUAUGAAUUAACACUAAUUGUUUCUUUGUUGUACAUAUAUGAUUUAUCUAGUUCAUAUUUGUAUGAAUUAAUGUCCGAUGAGCCAAACUGAAUGUGCUUAUUUCCGAAUAAUGUUCAGUCAGAAAAAAGGAUCUGAUUCGUGAACCAAAACUGAACAACCUACGGUCAUAGGGAAAUUCUUUGCAUAAUAUUCAGGCUUAAAGAGGCCCAACCAAAUUGAAUGUUUUGUUUUCAAAUAAUUUGUUCUUCAAAAUCUGAACAAUCUGAAUAAUUUGUUUUCGGACAACCAACUCGCUAGUUGUUUCAUUUGUUGGUUGGUUGGAUGUAAGAACUCAAGGUGUUGCUUUUGCAAACUGAUUAUCUAUCCAGAAUGUUGCAGUUGUGGUACUACAUGAUCUUACUAAUGCUUUUCUACUCGAUGUGGUUGGUAGUUUCUUGGCAGUAUCACGCAGAUUGGUUCUUAUUUAUGGCAUAUUUUUUUAUCAUAUAUACAUAUAUUAAUUAAUUCACUUCGGCCGUCUUCAUCAUCUAACAAUGUAGUGUGUGUGUGUGUUUGUGUGUGUUGAAAUGCAGAUGGCAGAGAGCCGUGAGAUCUUUCUCAAUUCUGCCGCUGAAGAUGAAGAGAGUGCCGCCAUGUUUCUUCGGAGCGAAAUGGCAGAGUUGCCUUGAGGUAUGUUCUUGCUCCUGUGAUCCAUUUUCAUUCUGCACUUUCCUCAAGCUAAUCUAAGUGACACUGUUCAUAUGAAUCUAAGUGACGCUUGAUUUGUUUCAUGCUGGUAUAUAUCAUGCUCAAUUCUUAUCAUGAUCGUCCCUGCUUAUUUUUGUUUGUUAUAUCUGUUUAUUUCAGUAAAUCUCAUGAUUUAUGUCUGUAUAUAACAAAUGAUUCUUUAGUAAAUAUGGAUACCAAACUGAAUCUUAUUUUUGUGAAUUGUCACACUAGUACUAUGUGUAGUUUUGGGAUGGCAGUACCAUACUGAAACUAUGUACCUAAGCCAUCAUCACUUCAAAACUACUAGCACUCCUGUUAGCUGUGGCACUUCUGGGAUAGCUCCAUAUUUUUUAUUUGUUUAGGGUUUUUUCCGCAUCUAACCCUUGGACCAAUUCAUCUGUUUUUUUAUAGGGACCUGACCUCGCGGAAGACGGAUGACCACUUUGCUGCCACAAGUCGCCUCCACACCGUGUAGCCCGCAAACAUGUCUCGAAGCAUUUGCCAAUCAAAUUUUAUGUUGCAAUGAACCAUUGACCUUCGUUGAUCGAACAUCUUGUAUUUUUCAUUUGGACCAUGGCAUGUAUGCAUGUAACAUUUUCAUUUGAACCGUUGAUAGUACUUGCAACAGAUUAUAUGAGCCUUUGUGUUGUUUUGCGUAAUCUAGUUGCACCAUUGUUGCAAGUACAUUUCUUGUAUGAGCUUUUGAAGCUUUUGAAAUUCUAAAAAUUGCAUCUUUAAUUGUAGUAUACUAAUUUUGUAAAUCCUCUGUAUCAAUCCCUGUGUACCAAAUAGAAGGGGGUAUGUGAGGGGUUUGGCGAUUGGGAGGAUUUGAGAGGAUUGGGUGGAAGAGAGGGAUUCACCAAAUCCUCCCAAAUCCCCUCCUCCCACAACCUCUCAAAUACUCUUCUACCAAACAAGGCCUGAAGGAUCAUAUCCAUUUUUCAAAUACAAGGCUUUGAUGCUGAUUGAACUAAGUGAAACAGCCCCUGCUAAGGUGGUUUUCUCUUAAACCAAGAAUAAGAAUAAUGGAAUGAAGAGUGGGAGAUGUUAGCUUACUCAUUUUCCCCAAGAUGUCUUGGAACGUUAAAUCGCUUCCAAUAAUAUAAGCCAUAUCCAUAGCAUUGCCAAACAAGGAUAGCUCAAAGAGUAAACUUUCUGUGUGCUCCUCAUGUACAACACCAUACACCAUCAAAAGGUCCCACCUGGCUUUCUCAUUUUUAUCUCGAAGGUUCGCCCAAUGAUUUUUUCAUGUUAAAGGCACACACUUCUAAGAUUUAUUAUUUCACACCACAAAGGAUAACCCCAGACUUGUGAACAAAAGGGGUCCAUUUCAAAAAAAACUUGAAAUCAUUUUCCAAAGAAGCUUUGAGAGAACUCUUCUUUCAUAGUUUCUUGCAACCCUGGGAAAUCCAACGAAUGGUGCUUUAAUGAGGUCAUGGAUGUUGGCGGCCAUUUUCCUCUCACUUGCUGAAGUGCAAUUCUAUAUACUCCACUAGACCUUCUAUUUUGCCAAUCCUACUAAGCAAAUGGGUAGGGGAUGCCAUUGUUCAUUUCCUACUUCCACCAUAUGAGAUUAUUAGAACGAAGGACGGUAAAAGCGUGUCCAUUAUUCCAAGGGCCUUGGACAAUAGUGUUUCAUUUUCCCACUAUAGCCCACCCCUUCGGUUUUGCAUCAAUGCAAUUUAUUCUCAGACGUUAUAGAUGGAACUAAAACGACGGAAAUGACGCGAGGGAGGGGGUUUGCUUAUUGACCAAUGAUCUCGCCAUCCCAGACUGUGUGAGGGAAUGAGACUACAUGCACGCAAUAACUACAACAUUUGAGUGUAACAUGCGCGCUAAUCUACCCAAGUUCAUUGAUGGUUGGCAUGUCCGAUAGUCUUGCGUUGUUAGAGUUAUUCCUAUUUUGGUGCCAGAAUUUCGGCCUGGCGGGCUUUUAAUUCCAGACGGAGGAAGUGGGUCUCCUUGACUUCAAGUUACAUGUUUAGAAGCCAAACCCACUUUCUUAUCCCUCGUUCUUCCUUAUCUAAUCUAUAUCUAUACCUACUAUUAAAGGGAUUAGUGUUGGAAAUAUGCCCUAGAGGCAAUAAUAAAUUAGUUAUUAUUAUAUUUCCUUGUUCAUGAUAAUCGUUUAUUAUCCAUGCUAUAAUUGUAUUGAUAGGAAACUCAGAUACAUGUGUGGAUACAUAGACAACACCAUGUCCCUAGUAAGCCUCUAAUUGACUAGCUCGUUGAUCAAUAGAUGGUUAUGGUUUCCUGACCAUGGACAUUGGAUGUCAUUUAUAACGGGAUCACAUCAUUAGGAGAAUGAUGUGAUGGACAAGACCCAAUCCUAAGCCUAGCACAAAGAUCGUAGUUCGUAUGCUAAAGCUUUUCUAAUGUCAAGUAUCUUUUCCUUAGACCAUGAGAUUGUGCAACUCCUGGAUACCGUAGGAAUGCUUUGGGUGUACCAAAUGUCACAACGUAACUGGGUGGCUAUAAAGGUGCACUACAGGUAUCUCCGAAAGUGUUUGUUGGGUUGGCACGAAUCUAGACUGGGAUUUGUCACUCCGUGUAAACGGAGAGGUAUCUCUGGGCCCACUCGGUAGGACAUCAUCAUAAUGUGCACAAUGUGACCAAGGGGUUGAUCACGGGAUGAUGUGUUACGCAACGAGUAAAGAGACUUGCCGGUAACGAGAUUGAACAAGGUAUCGGUAUACCGACGAUCGAAUCUUGGGCAAGUACAAUACCGUUAGACAAAGGGAAUUCUAUACGGGAUCGAUUGAGUCCUUGACAUCGUGGUUCAUCCGAUGAGAUCAUCGUGGAACAUGUGGGAGCCAACAUGGGUAUCCAGAUCCCGCUGUUGGUUAUUGACCAGAGAACGUCUCGGUCAUGUCUGCAUGGUUCCCGAACCCGUAGGGUCUACACACUUAAGGUUCGAUGAUGCUAGGGUUAUAAAGGAAGUUUGUAUGUGGUUACCGAAUGUUGUUCGGAGUCCCGGAUGAGAUCCCGGACGUCACGAGGAGUUCCGAAUGGUCCGGAGGUAAAGAUUGAUAUAUGGGAAGUCCUGUUUUGGUCAUCGGAAAAGUUUCGGGUUUUGUCGGUAACGUACCGGGACCACCGGGAGGGUCCCGGGGGUCCACCAAGUGGGGCCACCACCCUCGGAGGGCUGCAUGGGCCAAGUGUGGGAGGGGACCAGCCCCAGGUGGGCUGGUGCGCCCCCCCCCCCCCACAAGGGCCCAAGGCGCCUAGGGUUUGGGGAGGGGGCGCCCCACCUUGCUUGGNNNNNNNNNNNNNNNNNNNNNNNNNNNNNNNNNNNNNNNNNNNNNNNNNNNNNNNNNNNNNNNNNNNNNNNNNNNNNNNNNNNNNNNNNNNNNNNNNNNNNNNNNNNNNNNNNNNNNNNNNNNNNNNNNNNNNNNNNNNNNNNNNNNNNNNNNNNNNNNNNNNNNNNNNNNNNNNNNNNNNNNNNNNNNNNNNNNNNNNNNNNNNNNNNNNNNNNNNNNNNNNNNNNNNNNNNNNNNNNNNNNNNNNNNNNNNNNNNNNNNNNNNNNNNNNNNNNNNNNNNNNNNNNNNNNNNNNNNNNNNNNNNNNNNNNNNNNNNNNNNNNNNNNNNNNNNNNNNNNNNNNNNNNNNNNNNNNNNNNNNNNNNNNNNNNGCAGCCCAAGACAUGAGUUUCUUCUCCUGUUGGCGCAACCCUACCUCUCUUUCUCCUCAUAUCUCGCGGUGCUUGGCGAAGCCCUGCUGGACUACCACGCUCCUCCAUCACCACCACGCCGUUGUGCUGCUGCUGGAUGGAGUCUUCCUCAACCUCUCCCUCUCACCUUGCUGGAUCAAGGCAUGGGAGACGUCACCGGGCUGUACGUGUGUUGAACGCGGAGGUGCCGUCCGUUCGGCACUAGGAUCUUCGGUGAUUUGGAUCACGACGAGUACGACUCCCUCAACCCCGUUCUCUUGAACGCUUCCGCUUAGCGAUCUACAAGGGUAUGUAGAUGCACUCUCCUUCCCCUCGUUGCUGGUUUCUCCAUAGAUAGAUCUUGGUGACACGUAGGAAAAUUUUGAAUUUCUGCUACGUUCCCCAACAGUGGUAUCAAAGCUAGGUCUAUUGCGUAGAUUCUUUGCACGAGUAGAACACAAAGUAGUUGUGGGCGUUGAUUUUGUUCAAUAUGCUUACCGUUACUAGUCCAAUCUUGUUUCGACAAUAUUGUGGGAUGAAGCGGCCCGGACCGACCUUACACGUACUCUUACGUGAGACAGGUUCCACCGACUGACAUGCACUUGGUGCAUAAGGUGGCUAGCGAGUGCCAGUCUCUCACACUUUAGUCGGAACAGAUUCGAUGAAAAGGGUCCUUAUAAAGGGUAAAUAGCAAUUGGCAUAUCACGUUGUGGUUUUGUGUAGGUAAGAAACGUUCUUGCUAGAAACCCAUAGCAGCCACGUAAAACAUGCAAACAACAAUUAGAGGACGUCUAACUUGUUUUUGCAGGGUAUGCUAUGUGAUGUGAUAUGGCCAAGAAGAAUGUGAUGAAUGAUAUGUGAUGUAUGAGAUUGAUCAUGUUCUUGUAAUAGGAAUCACGACUUGCAUGUCGAUGAGUAUGACAACCGGCAGGAGCCAUAUGAGUUGUCUUUAUUUAUUGUAUGACCUGCGUGUCAUUGAACAACGCCAUGUAAUUACUUUACUUUAUUGCUAACCGGUAGCCAUAGUAGUAGAGGUAAUAGUUGGCGAGACAACUUCAUGAAGACACGAUGAUGGAGAUCAUGAUGAUGGAGAUCAUGGUGUCAUGCCGGUGACGAUGAUGAUCAUGGAGCCCCGAAGAUGGAGAUCAAAAGGAGCAAAAUGAUAUUGGCCAUAUCAUGUCACUAUUUGAUUGCAUGUGAUGUUUAUCAUGUUUAUGCAUCAUAUUUGCUUAGAACGAUGGUAGUAAAUAAGAUGAUCCCUCAUUAAAAUUUCAAGAAAGUGUUCCCCCUAACUGUGCACCGUUGCGAAAGUUCGUCGUUUCGAAGCACCACGUGAUGAUCGGGUGUGAUAGAUUCUUACGUUCACAUACAACGGGUGUAAGCCAGAUUUACACACGCGAAACACUUAGGUUGACUUGACGAGCCUAGCAUGUACAGACAUGGCCUCGGAACACAAGAGACCGAAAGGUCGAGCAUGAGUCGUAUGGUGGAUACGAUCAACAUGAAGAUGUUCACCGAUGAUGACUAGUCCGUCUCACGUGAUGAUCGGACAUGGCCUAGUUGACUCGGAUCAUGUAAUCACUUAGAUGACUAGAGGGAUGUCUAUCUGAGUGGGAGUUCAUAAGAUGAACUUAAUUAUCCUGAACAUAAUCAAAAGAUCUUUGCAAAUUAUGUCGUAAGCUCGCGCUUUAGUUCCACUAUUUAGAUAUGUUCCUAGAGAAAAUAUAGUUAAAAGUUGACAAUAGCGAUUAUGCGGACAGUAGAAAGCUUAUGUCCUUAAUGCACCGCUCAGUGUGCUGAACCCCAAACGUCGUUUGUGGAUGUUGCGAACAUCGGACAUACAUGUUUUGAUAACUACGUGAUAGUUCGGUUAAACGGUUUAGAGUUGAGGCACCAAAGACAUUUUCGAAACGUCGCGGAACAUAUGAGAUGUUUCGAGGGCUGAAAUUGGGAUUUCAUGCUUGUGCCCACGUCAAGAGGUAUGAGGCCUCCGACGAGUUUCUUAGCCUGCAAACUAAGGGAGAAAAAGUUCAAACGUUGAGCUUGUGCUCAGAUUGUCUGAGUGCAACAAUCACUUGAAUCGAGUGGGAGUUGAUCUUCCAGAUGAGAUUGUGAUGUUUCUCCAAAAGUCACUGCCACCAAGCUGCUAGAGCUUCGUGAUGAACUAUAACAUAUCAGGGAUAGAUAUGAUGAUCCUUGAAGUAUUCGCAAUGUUGGACACCGCGAAAGUAGAAAUCAAGUAGGAGCAUCAAUUGUUGAUGGUUGGUGAAACCACUAGUUUCAAGAUGGGCAAGGGCAAGAAGGGAUACUCCAUGAAAUGGCAAAUCAGCUGCUGCUCUAGUGAAGAAACCCAAGGUUGAACCCAAACCCGAGACUAAGUGCUUCUGUAAUAAGGGGAACAACCACUGGAGCAGCAUUACCCUAGAUACUUGGUAGAUGAGAAGGCUGGCAAGGUCGAUAGAAGUAUAUUGGAUAUACAUUAUGUUAAUGUGUACUUUACUAGUACUCCUAGUAGCACCUGGGUAUUAAGAUACCGGUUCGGUCGCUAAGUGUUAGUAACUCGAAAUAAAAGAGCUACGGAAUAAACGGAGACUAGCUAAAGGUGAGCUGACGGUAUAUGUUGGAAGUGUUUCCAAGUUUGAUGUGAUCAAACAUCGCACGCUCCCUCUACCAUCAAGAUUAGUAUUAAACCUGAAUAAUUGUCAUUUGGUGUUUGCGUUGAGCAUAGACAUGAUUGGAUUAUGUCUAUCACAAUACGGUUAUUCAUUUAAGGAGAAUAAUGGUUACUCUAUUUAUUUGAAUAAUACCUUCAAUGGUCUUGCACCUAAAGGAAUUGUUUAUUGAAUCUCGAUCGUAGUGAUACACAUUUUCAUGCCAAAAGAUAUAAGAUAGUAAUGAUAGUACCACUUACUUGUGGCACUGCCAUGUAAGUCAUAUUGGUAUAAAACGCAUGAAGAAGCUCCAUGUUGAUGGAUCUUUGGACUCACUCGUUUUUGAAAAGUUUGAAACAUGUGAACCAUGUCUAUUGGUGUAUACGCAUGAAGAAACUCCAUGCAGAUGGAUCGUUUGGACUCACUUGAUUUUGAAUCACUUGAGAUAUGCAAAUCAUACCACAUGGGCAAGAUGACUAAAAAGCCUCGUUUUUCAGUAAAAUGGAACAAGAUAGCAACUUGUUGGAAGUAACACAUUUUGAUGUGUGCAGUCCAAUGAGUGCUGAGGCAUGCAGUGAAUAUCGUUAUGUUCUUUCUUCACAGAUGAUUCGAGUAGAUGUUGAGUAUAUUUACUUGAUGAAACACAAGUUUGAAUUAUUGAAUGGUUCAAGUAAUUUCAGAGUGAAGUUGAAGAUCAUCGUGACAAGAGGAUAAAAUGUCUAUGAUGUGAUCAUAGAGAUGAGGAUCUGAGUUACGAGCUUUGGCACGCAAUUAAGACAUUGUGGAAAUUGUUUCACAAUUAAUACCGCCUGGAACACCAUAGUGUGAUGGUGUGUCCGAGCAUCAUAGUUGCACCCUAUUGGAUAUGGUGCGUACCAUGAUGUCUCUUAUCGAAUUACCACUAUCGUUCAUGGGUUAGGUAUUAGAGACAACCGCACUCACUUUAAUAGGGUACCACGUAAUUCCGUUGAGACGACACCGUUUGGAGAAACCUAAGUUGUCGUUUCUUAAAGGUUUGGGGCUGCGAUGCUUAUGUGAAAAAGUUUUAGGUUGAUAAGCUUGAACCCAAAGCGGAUAAAAUGCAUCUUCAUAGGACACCCAAAAUAGUUGGGUAUACCUCCUAAUUCAGAUCCGGAAGCAAAAGUGAUUGUUUCUAGAAACGGGUCCUUUCUCGAGGAAAAGUUUCUCUCGAAAGAAUUGAGUGGGAGGAUGGUGGAGACUUGAUGAGGUUAUUGAACCAUCACUUCAACAAGUGUGUAGCAGGGCACAGGAAGUUGUUCAUGUGGCACCUACACCAAUUGAAGCGGAAGCUUAUGAUAGUGAUCAUGAUGCUUCGGAUCAAGUCACUACCGAACCUCAUAGGUUGACAAGGAUGCGUACUACUUCAGAGUGGUACAGUAAUCCUGUCUUGAAGGUCAUGUUGCUAGACAACAAUGAACCUACGAGCUAUGGAGAAGCGAUGGUGGGCCCAUAUUCCGACAAAUGGUUAGAAGCCAUGAAAUCCAAGAUAGGAUCCAUGUAUCAUAACAAAGCAUGGACUUUGGUGGACUUGCCCGAUGAUCGGCAAGCCAUUGAGAUAAAUGGAUCUUUAAGAAGAAGACGGACGUGGACGGUAAUGUCACCGUCUAUGAAGCUCGACUUGUGGCGAAGAGUUUUUUCACAAGUUCAAGGAGUUGACUACGAUGAGGUUUUCUCAUCCAUAGCGAUGCUUAAGUCCGUCAGAAUCAUGUUAGCAUUAACUGCAUUUAAGAAAUCUGGCAGAUGGAUGUCAAAACGAGUUUCCUUACCAGUUUUCGUAAGGAAAGGUUGUAUGUGAUACAAUCAGAAAGGUUUUGUCGAUCCUAAGGAUGCUAAAAGGUAUGCUAGCUCCAGUGAUCCUUCCAUGGACUGGAGUAAGCAUCUCGGAGUUGGAAUAUACACUUUGAUAAGAUGAUCAAAGAUUUUAGGUUUAUACAAAGUUUAUGAGAAACUUGUAUUUCCAAAGAAGUGAGUGGGAGCACUAUAGAAUUUCUGAUGAGUAUAUGUUGUUGACAUAUUGAUGAUCAGAAAUGAUGUAGAAUUUUCUGUAAAACAUAUAGGGUUAUUUGAAAAGUGUUUUUCAAGUGAAAACCUGGAUUAAGCUGCUUGAACAUUGAGCAUCAAGAUCUAUGAGGAUAGAUCAAAAACCGCUUAAUGGUACUUUCAAAUGAGCAUCUACCUUGACAUGAUCUUGAAGGUGUUCAAGAUGGAUCAGUCAAAGAAGGAGUUCUUGCCUGAGAUGUAAGGUACGAAGUUAAGACUUAAAGCUCGACCACGGCAGAAGAGAGAGAAAGGACGAAGGUCGUCUCCUAUGCUUUAAACGUAGGCUCUACAAUAGGCUAUGUUGUGUACCGCACCUGAUGUGCGCCUUGCUACAUAUUUGGCAAGAGAGUACAAAGGUGAUCAAGGAGUAGAUACCAGAUAGCGGUCAAAAUUGUCCUUGGAGUAAUAAGGACAUGUUUCUCGAUUAUGGAGGUGAUAAAGAGUUCGGCGUAAAGGGUUACGUUGAUGCAAGCUUUAACACCUAUCCGAAUGACUCUGAGUAGCAAACCGGAUACGUAUAGUGGAGCAACCAUUUGGAAUAGCUCCAAGUGGAGAGUGGUAGCAGCAUUUACAAUAUGACCUAGAGAUUUGCAAAGUACAUACGGAUCUGAAUGUUGCAGACCCAUUGACUAAAACCUCUCUCAAGCAAAACAUGAUCAAACCCCAGAACUCAUUGAGUCUUAAUCACAUGAUGAUGUGAACUAGUUUAAUGACACUAGUAAACUCUUUGGAUGUUGGUCACAUGGCGAUGUGACCUGUGAGUGUUAAUCACAUGGCGAUGUGAACUAGAUUAUUGACUCUAGUGCAAGUGGGACACUGUUGGAAAUAUGCCCUAGAGGCAAUAAUAAAUUAGUUAUUAUUAUAUUUCCUUGUUCAUGAUAAUCAUUUAUUAUCCAUGCUAUAAUUGUAUUGAUAGGAAACUCAGAUACACGUGUGGAUACAUAGACAACACCAUGUCCCUAGUAAGCCUCUAAUUGACUAGCUCGUUGAUCAAUAGAUGGUUACGGUUUCCUGACCAUGGACAUUGGAUGUCAUUGAUAACGGGAUCACAUCAUUAGGAGAAUGAUGUGAUGGACAAGACCCAAUCCUAAGCCUAGCACAAAGAUCGUAGUUCGUAUGCUAAAGCUUUUCUAAUGUCAAGUAUCUUUUCCUUAGACCAUGAGAUUGUGCAACUCCCGGAUACCGUAGGAAUGCUUUGGGUGUACCAAAUGUCACAAUGUAACUGGGUGGCUAUAAAGGUGCACUACAGGUAUCUCCGAAAGUGUUUGUUGGGUUGGCACGAAUCGAGACUGGGAUUUGUCACUCCGUGUAAACGGAGAGGUAUCUCUGGGCCCACUCGGUAGGACAUCAUCAUAAUGUGCACAAUGUUACCAAGGGGUUGAUCACGGGAUGAUGUGUUAAGGAACGAGUAAAGAGACUUGCCGGUAACGAGAUUGAACAAGGUAUCGGUAUACCGACGAUCAAAUCUCAGGCAAGUACAAUACCGUUAGACAAAGGGAAUUGUAUACGGGAUCGAUUGAGUCCUUGACAUCGUGGUUCAUCCGAUGAGAUCAUCGUGGAACAUGUGGGAGCCAACAUGGGUAUCCAGAUCCCGCUGUUGGUUAUUGACCAGAGAACGUCUCGGUCAUGUCUGCAUGGUUCCCGAACCCGUAGGGUCUACACACUUAAGGUUCGAUGACGCUAGGGUUAUAAAGGAAGUUUUUAUGUGGUUACGGAAUGUUGUUCGGAGUCCUGGAUGAGAUCUUGGACGUCAUGAGGAGUUCCGGAAUGGUCCGGAGGUAAAGAUUUAUAUAUGGGAAGUCCUGUUUUGGUCACCGGAAAAGUUUCGGGUUUUAUCGGUAACGUACCGGGACCACCGGGAGGGUCCCGGGGGUCCACCAAGUGGGGCCACCACCCUCGGAGGGCUGCAUGGGCCAAGUGUGGGAGGGGACCAGCCCCAGGUGGGCUGGUGCGCCCCCUGUCGGUGUCAAAACCAGCGGAUCUCGGGUAGGGGGUCCCGAACUGUGCGUCUAGGCGGAUGGUAACAGGAGACAAGGGACACGAUGUUUUACCCAGGUUCGGGCCCUCUUGAUGGAGGUAAAACCCUACGUCCUGCUUGAUUGAUAUUGAUAAUGUGGGUAUUACAAGAGUAGAUCUACCACGAGAUCAAGGAGGCUAAACCCUAGAAGCUAGCCUAUGGUAUGAUUGUUGUAAUGGUUGUUGUUGUGUCCUACAGACUAAAGCCAUCUGGUUUAUAUAGACACCGGAGAGGGCUACGGUUACAUAGAGUCGGUUACAAUGGUAGGAGAUCUACAUAUCCGUAUCGCCAAGCUUGCCUUCCACGCCAAGGAAAGUCCCAUCCGGACACGGGACGAAGUCUUCAAUCUUGUAUCUUCAUAGUCUUGGAGUCCGGCUGACGAUGAUAGUCCGGCCGAUGAUGGUAGUCCGGCUAUCCGGACACCCCCUAGUCCAGGACUCCCUCAGUAGCCCCUGAACCAGGCUUCAAUGACGAUGAGUCCGGCGCGCAUAUUGUUCGGCAUUGCAAGGCGGGUUCCUCCUCCAAAUAAUUCAUAGAAGAUUGUGAACACCAGGAUAGUGUCCGGCUCUGCAAAAUAAAUUCCACAUUCCACCGUAGAGAGAAUAAUAUAUACACAAGUUCAAUCUGCUGACGUUUUUUGUGGCAUGACGUCACACCACUACCAAGCCCUUACUUGAAUCGUUUUUUACUUUACCACCUCAGCGCAUUAAGCGAAGCGGUUUCCUUGGCACGUCUUGUCGAAGCAGAGAUCGUGUUCCCCCUUAUUCCGGGAUUCUCAUCAAUACGGACGUGGGUAACCCAACCGCGCCAUUGAUGGUGGCGCUUGGGAGAUAAGCGAGUUUUACCAGGCCGGUGGGGAUGCAUAGUUUUCGUCCGCCCAUAUAUAAGGGGAUUAGGAUCCACCCUUUCACCUACGCCUUCUUCCUCCUUUGCUUAUCCAUCUCCGCGCACUCGAGCUCCAGCGCCCAAGCCCGCACAUCUCGUCUCAACCUUUCCCAGUCAUGUCUGGAGCGGGAGGCAAGUGGAUGACCUCCUCCGUUACGGAGGGGCACAUCGAAAGACUGCGCAGCGCCGGAUAUCUACCCGGCGACAUCGCGCACCGGCUCCCGACGAGGGGCAGCUCAUCCCCACCCCCAGGCCCCAUGAGAGGGUCGUAUUCCUUCCCCACUUCCUCCGCGGACUGGGCCCAUUGCAUCCCUUUGUCCGGGGUCUCAUGUACUAUUACGGCCUGGAUUUCCAUGAUCUGGCGCCAAACUUCAUCCUCAACAUCUCGGCGUUUAUCGUCGUGUGCGAGGCCUUCCUCUGCAUCCAGCCUCACUUCGGCUUGUGGCUCAAGACCUUCAAUGUCAAGCCGAAGGUGGUGAAGGGCACUCAAGCGGAGUGCGGAGGCGCCAUGUUGGGUAAGAUACCCAACGUCGUCUGGCUCGAGGGUGCCUUCGUGGAAACCAUCAAGGGAUGGCAAUCGGGGUGGUUCUACAUCACCGAGCCGCGUGAACCUAGAUGGGUAGCGGCCCCCGAAUUUAGAUCUGGGAUCCCCAUGCGGCUCUCCUCUUGGAAGGAGAGCGGCCUGACCUGGGGUAAUUCGGAGGAGCUGAUCGGACUCCAAGCCUGUAUCCAGAGGCUGGUGAACAAGAAGCUCAAGCUUGUCAACAUGGUCCAGGUCAUGCUCAUCCGCCGGAUUCUCCUAUGCCAAGAACGGGCAUUUACAUUGUGGGAGUUUAAUCCGGCACAACACCAGACCUUGAGCAGGCCCUUCGACACUAGGUACGAAGAUGCCUGGAAAGUGCUCUUCAAGGGCGCCGAAGCCCCCGCAUCCGCCACCGAAGAUCGCGGAUUUCGCUCGCAGCGUCAAGCUGACGAGGUAAGUGAUUCUACCCCUUUAUGGGACACUUGGUAUUCAUAGUUUGACUCUAUGCGGGUUUCAAUUUCCCCUUUUCCUUUGACAGGACUGGAUGAGGAAGGCGGAGUAGAUCAUCUGUCCGGCUCCUAUGCCAGAAAACCCAGUAGACGCCCGUCUAGCGGGGCUGCUGGUUCCGGCACCACACGUGGUGCCGGAGAAGAAGGCCAAGAAAGAGGCCAGGGUACUCGAAAGAGUUCCCGUUUUCAGGUGUCCGACGACAACGAGGCGGACUCCUCCCCCGAAAACGAGGAGGAGAAAGAGGACUCUCUCCCGGAGGAGGGAGAGAGGAAGAGGAAGGCUUCCCCAACAGGGAAGGCCGAAGGGUCCAAGAGGGGAAGGACUAUUCCCCCGGACAGCUCCACCAACGUCAACGUUGGCGAUGAAGAAUGGCCCUCAAGGGCUAGGCCUCCGGCGAGAUCGUAAGUAUCCGGAUUCCUGAAUAAUUUACAAUUUCUCUUUUGUGUCACAUAGUGUCAUUCUAAUGCCGCACGCUGCCUGUAGUCCGGCCAAUGAUGAUCUCCCCGCUUCAUCGAGCGGGUCGUUGGCUCCGUCGGAUGUAGACUCCAUCCCGACCGCCUCCACCCCUCGCGACACUGAGGACGCCGAGGUGGGAUCCCAAGAAGGGACCCAUCAGGGGGAGGCUCCGGAGGCGCCACAAGGCGGCCUCCCGGACUUUGCGCCGGACUCCAUGUUGGAACCCGCAGUGGUUCCGGAGUCCGGCCGGCGGCCCCUUCGCAAUAAGGGCAAGACCGUGACGCCGGCGGCCUCCGUACAACCGGAGGUGCCGGACAACUUGUUGGCGGCGCUCAAAGGCGCUUCCAUCAAGGAAGAACACCGCACUAUUAUGAGUGCGGUGAUUCAGAAGGUACAACUCGCCAAGAGCGGGCUGACCGAAGCCUGCAGUAGCCUUCUAUCAGGCUUUGAGGUAAGAAGUUAAAAUAUGCAAUGUAAUACCGCAUAGACAGUAGCCCCUGAUGCUCGGUUCGGUGUUCGGAAAGAAAAGCCGGACUGAGGAUCUAAAAAAAGUUAUACGCAGGGUUGCUAAAAAAUUAUGUCAACAUGGGUUUGCAGGCUGCGCUGCUGACCUCUGCAGCACUGACUGCGGAGGUCGGAGCUUUGAAGCAGGAGCUCGAACGGUCCGAGCAAGAGCUCGGCCGUGCCAAGAAGCAGCUCGAGGACAAAGAAGGUGAGUAACACCACUUUGAAUUAUUACCUUACAAAAAAGGAUUUAGGUUGCGAUAAAAAUAACAAGGAUAACGUGGGUACUACAGGGGCCACGAACGAGGUGACAACCCUGAAGGAGGCCAUGUCCGUGGCCGAACGCAAUGCGGCCGCGGAACGGGUAGAGCGAGAAAAGCAGGAGGCGCGGGUGGCGGAGGUUCGGCAAGAGCUCCAGGCUCUCAUGGAAAAGCAUGAGAGUUUGGAGCAUGACUCAAAGACUCGAGAGUCCGAGCUUGCCUCGGCUCUCGAAAGUGCCAAAGCCGCCAAGGUCGAGGCCCAUAAGUCCCUUUAGGAGAUUGAGUCGGUGAAGAAGAUAGCGGCGGGUAAGGCAUUUUUCAUGCAAAGCAAGCAUGUGAAUGUAAAUUACGUGUUACUUACCCGAAUUCGGAGCUCUCCAGGGGCGUUUGCAGACCUGCCUCGCAGCGUGUCUGAUGCCGCCGCAUUCUACCGAGCCGAGGAGGGGAGCUCAACGGAGAAGGUCUUCUGGUCUCAGUAUGCUGAGGCCGGCCAUCCGGUGCCCCCUAGCGACCAGUUGAAGCAGCUGGUCGAGCUCCACAAGGUAGCCGAGCAGGCCAUGAAGGGCCUCAUAGUCCGGUUGUGGCCUGGAGAGGCCAUGCCUGGGAGCUACUUCAGCCUCGUGCGGCGGUUGGUGGAUGCGUGCCCCUGGGUGGAGGUUAUCAAGCGCUCCGCCUGUAUUGAAGGUGCUCGUCGGGCCCUUGCCCGCGCAAAGGUGCAUUGGGGCAAGCUGGAUGCGGAGAAGCUUAUCACUGACGCGCCACCAAUGGGCAAGGAGUAUCGUACGCCCGAGAUGUACUAUAAGACUGUCCUGAAGGGUGCCCGCAAGAUUGCGGAUGAGUGCCCCAGGGAUGUAAUUAUUGAGUAAAUUCGCAAUGUGUUAUCCUGUGCGCUGAAAACUUUGUUCAUAUGCGCUAAGCAACACUUAUUAAUUUAAAAUAUUACCUUCUGUGCGGCCGUUUAUUAAAUCUGAGAGAUGGCAAGUCGUCGGCUUCAGCCCCCAUGCCACGAGUGCUGGGGUGUUCGGGAUAAACUUGAGCACUCUUGUUCCCAUUUUUGGGUCCAUUUAGGGAGGCGCUCAACACAACAAACAAGGCAACCGGACUUAUAAUGCUUGAACACUCUCACUUAGCCAUAGAAUUCUAUAAUUUUAAAUUUCGGCGAAGCCCCUAGUAUUCGGAAGACCGAGUUCGGGGCGCUAUCCACGCCUUGGCCGGACAUUAUCCGGUUCUUCGCUCGAAGCGGCAUAAGUCUUUAGGGACUCGAAAAGACCUCUCGAACAGCGACCGGUCUCUCGCCUUAUCAUGACAGUCAGUUUUAGCUUUCUCCACUGAGGCGUUAACCCGGCUCAACCGGGGCGCAAUCGCAAUGGUUCUCCCAGUGCUACCGUAGCCGACAGAACGGAACGUAAGGUGCCAAACAUGGGAGCCGGGCAAACCCAACUAUUGACCCAAGACAUGAUUCGGAGCCGAUUCAUAUAAUGCUAUAAGUUCGGGGUGCCGCACUUGUGAAAGUGUGCGGACUUAUCACACCAUAAUGCGGGGAACAUAAGCCCCUGGUGUAUUCGGCCGGACCAAAAUAUACGGAUGCAACAUGUCGUAAAUGAACAUAUAUAUAAAGUAAUGCAAUUAUAGGCAAAAAAUGUUGCAUUAUUUAUUCAAGAAAUUCUGCUAUGAGUGCGGAAUGAUACAAAUAGUGCGGUAAGCAAGGGAUUGGACUAAUGAAAUGUGUCUCCCUCCAGGGGUAGGCUGCGGAAUUGUAUAUUUAACAAAUUUAAUGCUCGUAAUGGAGACAACCUGAGUGUUCGUCGCAGCCUUUGUCCCUCCCUUGCUGUUGUAUCAUGAGUUCGGCAGGUUCGCCGCCAGACAGAGUCCUGUGUAAAAAAGAAGAAAAAUAAAAAAUAAAAAGAGCGACACACUUGGGAGCCCCUGGUGUGGUCGAACCGCACUCUGGGUCUGUUGUGGUCGUGCCCCUCCCCUAUGCCCAUGGUAUCUCCAGAGCGUAAUGAUGUACGCGGAGAGUUUGUCUUGCGAUCGUGCGAGGGUUGGGGUUGGGGCCGCAUUUCUACGCGUGCUCGGAACGUGCCAGGUGGUCUUGGUUGAUGUUGCUCCGGGCAUGUUUGGCCGUGUCCGGUCGUUUAACGACCGGACUCGAAAAUUGCCUUAGAAGGCUGCUCUGUACUUCUGCCGCGAGAGCCGCUGUAUGUUCCUCCAUUCGGAGGGAGCGUCCCGUAUUUCCGUUGACCGUGAUGACUCCACGAGGGCCUGGCAUCUUGAGCUUGAGGUAUGCAUAAUGCGGCACCGCGUUGAACUUUGCGAACGCGGUUCGUCCGAGCAGAGCGUGAUAGCCACUGCGGAACAGGACUAUGUCGAAGAUUAACUCCUCGCUUCGGAAAUUAUCCGGGGAUCCGAAGACCACUUCCAGUGUGACUGAGCCUGUACAAUUGGCCUCAACACCUGGUAUGACGCCCUUGAAGGUUGUCUUUGUAGGUUUAAUUCCCGAAGGGUCUAUGCCCAUCUUGCGCACUGUAUCCUGAUAAAGCAGGUUCAGGCUACUGCCGCCGUCCAUCAGGACUCUCGUGAGGUGAAAUCCAUCGACAAUUGGGUCUAAAACCAAUGCGGCGAAUCCGCCAUGGCGGAUACUGGUCGGGUGGUCUCUUCGAUCGAAAGUGAUCGGGCAAGAGGACCAUGGGUUGAACUUUGGGGCGACUGGCUCCAUCGCAUAUACGUCCCUUAGUGCACGCUUCCGCUCCCUCUUGGGUAUAUGCGUUGCGUAUAUCAUGUUUACCGUCCGAACUUGUGGGGGGAAGCCCUUAUGUCCUCUAUUGUUCGGCGGUGGGGUCUCUUCCUCGUCAUCGCUGUGUAGCCCCUUGUCAUUGUUUUCGGCAAUUAAUUUGCCUGCCUGCUUGAAUACCCAACACUCUUUGUUGGUGUGGUUAGCUGGCUUUUCGGGGGUGGCAUGUAUUUGGCAAGAGCGGUCGAGUAUUCGGUCCAAAUUGGACGGGCCCGGAGUGGUUCUUUUAAAUGGAUUCUUCCGUUGACUGGGUUUGGAGCCUCGGAAUCCGACAUUGACUGCGGUAUCCCCAUUGUUGUCGCCGUUAAUGCGGCAUUUGUUUUUGUUUCGACGCGACCUACCAUUGCGGUCCUUGGUAUCCGGACUGCCAGCAUUUUUACUGAGGUUGUUGCUGCGAGCUAGCCAGCUAUCCUCUCCCGCACAGAAGCGGGUCAUGAGUGAUGUGAGGGCUGCCAUGGAUUUCGGCUUUUCCUGUCCUAGGUGCCGGGCCAGCCACUCGUCGCGGAUGUUAUGUUUGAAGGCAGCGAGGGCCUCUGCAUCCGGACAGUCGACGAUUUGAUUUUUCUUUGUUAAGAACCGUGUCCAGAAUUGUCUGGCCGAUUCAUCUGGCUGCUGGAUUAUGUGGCUUAGGUCAUCUGCGUCUGGUGGUCGCACAUAUGUGCCCUGGAAGUUGUCGAGGAAUGCGGCUUCUAGGUCCUCCCAACACCCAAUUGACUCUGCGGGCAGGCUGUUGAGCCAAUGCCGAGCCGGUCCUUUAAGCUUGAGCGGGAGAUAUUUGAUGGCGUGAAGAUCGUCGCCGCGGGCCAUAUGGAUAUGAAGGAGAUAAUCCUCGAUCCAAACCGCGGGGUCUGUUGUGCCAUCGUAGGAUUCGAUGUUAACGGGUUUAAACCCUUCAGGGAUUUGACGAUCCAUUACUUCGUCAGUGAAGCAUAGUGGGUGUGCGGCGCCUCUGUAUUGAGCAAUAUCACGACAUAGCUCAAGAGAGUGUUGUCUGCUGUGUUCGGCCUGGCCGGAGUUAUUGCAUCCGGUGCGACGGUAUUCGUCGUGGGUCUUGGGGCGCCCACGUGAUCCAUAGAUAGAUUUGGAUUGUCUUGCCUUGUCCUCCAAUAUAUCCCGCAAGUCCGGCGCGUUCCCCCGUGGCUUAGUACUUUUUGAGCGGUGCCGGGGUACGGUCUUGGUGGAGGGCUUACAUGCCUCUCUGUCGCGGCCACGAGGUGGUCGGUCUGCCGUAUUGUGCGCUGGUGAUGAAGGUUUGUAUGCUUCCUCCUCUACUCGGGGGAGCAACUUGCGUUUUGGGUAGCUUUUGGAGGGGCGUUCUAGUUCAUACUCUUCGGCCGCGAGGACCUCGGUCCAUCUGUCGGCCAGCAGGUCUUGAUCAGCUUGAAGCUGUUGCUACUUUUUCUUUAGACUAUUUGCUGUGGCCAUUAGCCUGCGUCUGAAACGCUCUUGAUCGACGGGAUCCUCAGGAACGACGAAUUCGCCGUCGUCGAGGCUUGCCUCGUCUCCGGAGGGAGGUAUGUAAUUAUCAUCCUCGACCUCUUCGUCUGCCGCUCUCUCGUGAGGGCUUGCUUCUGCAUCCUCCUGCAUUGAAUCUUGCUGGAGGGGGUUGUCUUCGGCACUUUCUGGGGUGUUGUUAUCUCCUGUGCCGGAAUAUCCAUUCUUGCUGUGGCGGGAUUUAGAGCGGCGCCGCUGACGUCGGCGCUUGGGCUGUUUCUUUAAGGAAUCUGCCUUUGCUGCUUCUUCGCCAUCCCCAUCUUUUGGGGUGUCCACCAUGUAUAUGUCGUAUGACGAGGUGGUCUUCCAGUGCCCUGUAGGCGUUGGUUCUUGAUCGUCUCCGGCAUCAUCGUCCAUACCGUCGAUGUCUUCGGAGUCGUAGUCUAGUACGUCGGUUAGAUCGUCGACAGUGGCUACAAAGUGGGUGGUGGGUGGGCUUUGAAUUUCUUCGUCAUGCGCAUCCCAACCAUCCUGGCCGUAGUCCGGCCAGGGCUCUCCGGAUAGCGAGAGAUGCUUUAGCGAUUUUAAGAUGUCGCCAAAGGGUGAGUACUGAAAGAUGUCCGCAGCGGUGAACUCCAUGGUCGGCGCCCAAUCAGAUUCGAUUGGCAGGGGCGCAGGAGGUUCAGAGUCCGGCAGGGAGUCCGACACCUCGGAGUCACGAGCUUUAUAAAGGACGAGGUCAGUGUUCGGCUCCAUCGCCGUGGAAGUUGCAGCUCCCGAGGCGGUGUCCAGCCACCCGUCCUCGAUCUGAGCAAUCGGCUCCGGACUAUGGGUCGGAGCAGAUUCGUGUGCGGCCUCCAAGGUACUGUCCGGCGGCAGAGUUAGGUCGUGCCCAUCGUGACAGUGCGGCACGCUCGGCUGCGGCUCCGAUCCAUCGAAGAUUAAGUCUCCGCGGAUAUCAGCCGGGAAGUUUAGGCUUCCAAACCUGACCUGACGGCCAGGGGCGUAGCUUUUGAUCUGCUCCAGAUGGCCAAGCGAAUUGGCCCGCAGUGCGAAGCCGCCGAAUACGAAGAUCUGUCCAGGGAGAAAAGUCUCGCCCAGGACUGCGUCGUUAUUGAUUGAAGAGGCCAUCAAGCCUAUCGGUGACGACACAGAGGAACUCUCAAUGAAAGCACCAAUGUCGGUGUCAAAACCGGCGGAUCUUGGGUAGGGGGUCCCGAACUGUGCAUCUAGGCGGAUGGUAACAGGAGAUAAGGGACACGAUGUUUUACCCAGGUUCGGGCCCUCUUGAUGGAGGUAAAACCCUACAUCCUGCUUGAUUGAUAUUGAUAAUGUGGGUAUUACAAGAGUAGAUCUACCACGAGAUCAAGGAGACUAAACCCUAGAAGCUAGCCUAUGGUAUGAUUGUUGUAAUGGUUGUUGUUGUGUCCUACGGACUAAAGCCAUCCGGUUUAUAUAGACACCGGAGAGGGCUAGGGUUACAUAGAGUCGGUUACAAUGUUAGGAGAUCUACAUAUCCGUAUCGCCAAGCUUGCCUUCCACGCCAAGGAAAGUCCCAUCCGAACACGGGACGAAGUCUUCAAUCUUGUAUCUUCAUAGUCUUGGAGUCCGGCUGACGAUGAUAGUCCGACCGAUGAUAGUCCGGCCGAUGAUGGUAGUCCGGCUAUCCGGACACCCCCUAGUCCAGGACUCCCUCACCCCCCCACAAGGGCCCAAGGCGCCUAGGGUUUGGGGAGGGGGCGCCCCACCUUGCUUGGGGGGAAAGUUUCCCCCUCUCCACCCCUUGGCCGCCCCCCUAGAUGGGAUCUAGGGCUGGCCACCGCCCCCUAGGGGUGGAAACCUAGGUGGGGGCGCAGCCCCCUCUCCCCCUAUAUAUAGUGGAGGCAUAGGAGCAGCCCAAGACAUGAGUUUCUUCUCCUGUUGGCGCAGCCCUACCUCUCUUUCUCCUCAUAUCUCGCGGUGCUUGGCGAAGCCCUGCUGGACUACCACGCUCCUCCAUCACCACCACGCCGUUGUGCUGCUGCUGGAUGGAGUCUUCCUCAACCUCUCCCUCUCACCUUGCUGGAUCAAGGCAUGGGAGACGUCACCGGGCUGUACGUGUGUUGAACGCGGAGGUGUCGUCCGUUCGGCACUAGGAUCUCCGGUGAUUUGGAUCACGACGAGUACGACUCCCUCAACCCCGUUCUCUUGAACGCUUCCGCUUAGCGAUCUACAAGGGUAUGUAGAUGCACUCUCCUUCCCCUCGUUGCUGGUUUCUCCAUAGAUAGAUCUUGGUGACACGUAGGAAAAUUUUGAAUUUCUGCUACGUUCCCCAACAAUUAGGUAUUCUUGGUUUGGUCCCGUUUUGUUUUGUCCCGUUUUUUCGUGUCUCAUCCCGUUUUUUCGUAUCUUCGACCGUCCGUCUUUCCUUUUCUCAUAAGUCAAGAAGUGCCUUCGUACGUCACGAUCGAUUGUUUUUGGCUUCUGGUCUGUUCACUCAUAGCUUGGCUCGGCCUCAGCAUGUUAAAUAAAACACGGCUGAACCAUGCGCUGUAAGCUGGCCCAGCUACGAGGCCUGCCGCGCGCUAUAAGCCAGCCCAACUACACUGGUAGCCCAUGCAAAAAAUAAGCGUUUCAUCAUGGGUUUCGAACACAUGACCCCUGGUCUAUCCAUAGAUGGUAUGUACCAUCUAUUGGAAAUAUGCCCUAGAGGCAAUAAUAAAAGUAUUAUUAUAUUUCAUUGUUCAUGAUAAUUGUCUUUUAUUCAUGCUAUAACUGUAUUAUCCGGAAAUCGUAAUACACGUGUGAAUACAUAGACCACAAUACGUCCCUAGUGAGCCUCUAGUUGACUAGCUCGUUGUGAUCAACAGAUAGUCAUGGUUUCCUGGCUAUGGACAUUGGAUGUCGUUGAUAACGGGAUCACAUCAUUAGGAGAAUGAUGUGAUGGACAAGACCCAAUCCUAAGCAUAGCACAAAGAUCGUGUAGUUCGUUUGCUAGAGCUUUGCCAAUGUCAAGUAUCUCUUCCUUCGACCAUGAGAUCGUGUAACUCCUGGAUACCGUAGGAGUGCUUUGGGUGUAUCAAACGUCACAACGUAACUGGGUGACUAUAAAGGUGCACUACGGGUAUCUCUGAAAGUGUCUAUUGGGUUGACACGGAUCGAGACUGGGAUUUGUCACUCCGUAUGACGGAGAGGUAUCUCUGGGCCCACUCGGUAAUGCAUCAUCAUAAUAAGCUCAAGGUGACCAAGGUGUUGGCUACGGGAUCAUGCAUUACGGUACGAGUAAAGUGACUUGCCGGUAACGAGACUGAACAAGGUAUUGGGAUAUCGACGAUCGAGUCUCGGGCAAGUAACGUACCGAUUGACAAAGGGAAUUGUAUACAGGGUUUGAUCGAAUCCUCGACAUCGUGGUUCAACCGAUGAAAUCAUCGAGGAGCAUGUGGGAUCCAACAUGGGUAUCCAGACCCCGCUGUUGGUUAUUGCCCGAGAGUCGUCUCGGUCAUGUCUGCGUGUCUCCCGAACCCGUAGGGUCUACACACUUAAGGUUCGGUGACGCUAGGGUUGUAUGAAUAUGAGUAUGCAGCAUACCGAAUGUUGUUCGGAGUCCCGGAUGAGAUCUCGGACGUCACGAGGAGUUUUCGGAAUGGUCCGGAGGUAAAGAAUAAUAUAUAGGAAGUGGUAUUUCGGCCAUCGGGAAAGUUUCGGGGUCACCCGAUAAUGUACCGGGACCACCGGAAGGGUCCCGGGGGGUCCACCGGGUGGGGCCACCCAUCCCGGAGGGCCCCAUGGGCUGACGUGGGAGGGGAGCCAGCCCAUAGUGGGCUGGUGCGCCCCCCUAGGCCCACCCCCUGCGCCUAGGGUUGAAACCCUAGGGUAGGGGGGCGCACCACAUGCCUUGGGGGGCACUCCUCCCCCCUUGGCCGCCGCCCCCUUGGGAGAUCCAAUCUCCCAGGGCCGGCGCCCCCCCUGGGGUCCUAUAUAAAGGAGGGCAGGGGGGAGGGCAGCCACACCCAUUGCCUUGGCGCCUCCCUCCCCCUGCUACACCUCGUCCUCCUCCCGUAGACGCUUAGCGAAGCCCUACUGGAGUUCUGCUGCAUCCACCACCACGCCGUCGUGCUGCUGGAUCAUCAUCAACCUCUCCUUCCCCCUUGCUGGAUCAAGAAGGAGGAGACGUCUCCCGUCCCGUACGUGUGUUGAACGUGGAGGUGCUGUCCGUUCAGCACUUGGACAUCGGUGAUCUGAAUCACGUCGAGUACGACUCCAUCAUCACCAUCCCCUUGCAAGCUUCCGCACGUGAUCUACAAGUGGUAUGUAGAUGCAAACUCACUCCCUUGACUCGUUGCUUAGAUGAACUCAUAGAUGGAUCUUGGUGAAACCGUAGGAAAAAUUUUAAUUUUCUGCAACGUUCCUCAACAGUGGCAUCAUGAGCUAGGUCUAUGCGUAGUUCUCUUUGCACGAGUAGAACACAAUUUUGUUGUGGGCGUAGAUCUUGUCAACUUGCUUGCCGCUACUAGUCUUAUCUUGCUUCAGCGGUAUUGUGGGAUGAAGCGGCCCGGACCAACCUUACACGUACGCUUACGUGAGACCGGUUCCACCGACUAACAUGCACUAGUUGCAUAAGGUGGCUGGCGGGUGUCUGUCUCUCCCACUUUAGUUGGAGCGGAUUCAAUGAAAAGGGUCCUUAUGAAGGGUAAAUAGAAGUUGACAAAAUCACGUUGUGGUUAUUCGUAGGUAAGAAAACGUUCUUGCUAGAACCCAAUUGCAGCCACGUAAAAGAUGCAACAACAAUUAGAGGACGUCUAACUUGUUUUUGCAGCGAUUGAUCAUGUGAUGUCAUAUGGCCAGAAGUUGUGAUGAAUGAUGAAUUGUGAUGUAUGAGAUCAUGUUCUUGUAAUAGGAUUCACGACUUGCAUGUCGAUGAGUAUGACAACCGGCAGGAGCCAUAGGAGUUGUCUUUAUUUUUUGUAUGACCUACGUGUCAUUGAAGAACGCCAUGUAACUUCCUUUACUUUAUUGCUAAACGCGUUAGCCAUAGAAGUAGAAGUAGUCGUUGGCGUGACAACUUCAUGAAGACACGAUGAUGGAGAUCAUGAUGAUGGAGAUCAUGGUGUCAUGCCGGUGACAAGAUGAUCAUGGAGCCCCGAAGAUGGAGAUCAAUGGAGCUAUAUGAUAUUGGCCAUAUCAUGUCACUAAUAUAUAAUUGCAUGUGAUGUUUAUUAUGUUUAUGCAUCUUGUUUACUUAGGACGACGGUAGUAAAUAAGAUGAUCCCUUACAACAAUUUCAAGAAGUGUUCUCCCCUAACUGUGCACCGUUGCUACAGUUCGUCGCUUCUAAGCACCACGUGAUGAUCGGGUGUGAUGGAUUCUUACGUUCACAUACAACGGGCGUAAGACAGUUUUACACAGCGAAAACACUUAGGGUUAACUUGACGAGCCUAGCAUGUACAUACAUGGCCUCGGAACACGGAGACCGAAAGGUCGAACACGAGUCGUAUGGAAGAUACGAUCAACAUGAAGAUGUUCACCGACGAUGACUAGUCCGUCUCACGUGAUGAUCGGACACGGGCUAGUCGACUCGGAUCGUGUAACACUUAGAUGACUAGAGGGAUGUCUAAUCUGAGUGGGAGUUCAUAAUUUGAUUAGAACUUAAUUAUCAUGAACUUAGUCUAAAAACCUUUGCAAAUAUGUCUUGUAGAUCAAAUGGCCAACGCUCAUGUCAACAUGAACUUCAACGCGUUCCUAGAGAAAACCAAGCUGAAAGAUGAUGGCAGCAACUAUACGGACUGGGUCCGGAACCUGAGGAUCAUCCUCAUAGCUGCCAGGAAACAAUAUGUCCUAGAAGGACCGCUAGGUGACGCUCCCGUCCCAGAGAACCAAGACAUUAUGAAUGCUUGGCAAACUCGUGCUGAUGAUUACUCCCUCGUUCAGUGCGGCAUGCUUUACAGCUUAGAACCGGGGCUCCAAAAGCGUUUUGAGCAUCACGGAGCAUAUGAGAUGUUCGAGGAGCUGAGACUAGUUUUUCAAGCUCACGCCCGGGUCGAGAGAUAUGACGUCUCCGACAAGUUCUACAGUUGUAAGAUGGAGGAAAAUAGUUCUGUCAGUGAGCACAUACUCAAGAUGUCUGGGUUGCACAACCGUAUGACCCAGCUGAAUAUUAACCUCCCUGAUGAGGCGGUCAUUGACAGAAUCCUCCAGUCGCUCCCACCAAGCUACAAGAGCUUUGUGAUGAACUACAACAUGCAGGGGAUGGAAAAGACCAUUCCUGAAGUGUUUUCUAUGCUGAAGUCAACAGAGGCUGAAAUCAAGAAAGAACAUCAAGUGUUGAUGGUCAAUAAGACCACUAAGUUCAAGAAGGGCAAGGGCAAGAAGAACUUCAAGAAGGACGGCAAGGAUGUUGCCGCGCCCGGUAAGCCAGUUGCCGGGAAGAAGUCAAAGAAUGGACCCAAGCCUGAGACUGAGUGUUUUUAUUGCAAGGGGAAGGGUCACUGGAAGCGGAACUGCCCCAAAUACUUAGCGGAUAAGAAGGCCGGCAACACCAAAGGUAUAUUUGAUAUACAUGUAAUUGAUGUAUACCUUACCAGUACUCGUAGUAACUCCUGGGUAUUUGAUACCGGUGCCGUUGCUCAUAUUUGUAACUCACAGCAGGAGCUGCGGAAUAAACGGAGACUGGCGAAGGACGAGGUGACGAUGCGCGUCGGGAAUGGUUCCAGAGUCGAUGUGAUCGCCGUCGGCACGCUACCUCUACAUUUACCUACGGGAUUAGUUUUGAACCUUAAUAAUUGUUAUUUAGUGCCAAGUUUGAGCAUGAACAUUGUAUCUGGAUCUCGUUUAAUACGAGAUGGCUACUCAUUUAAGUCUGAGAAUAAUGGUUGUUCAAUUUAUAUGAGAGAUAUGUUUUAUGGUCAUGCUCCGAUGGUCAAUGGUUUAUUCUUAAUGAAUCUCGAGCGUAAUAUUACACAUGUUCAUAGUGUGGAUGCCAAAAGAUGUAAAGUUGAUAACGAUAGUCCCACAUACUUGUGGCACUGCCGCCUUGGUCACAUUGGUGUCAAGCGCAUGAAGAAGCUCCAUGCUGAUGGACUUUUGGAGUCUCUUGAUUAUGAAUCGUUUGACACAUGUGAACCAUGCCUCAUGGGCAAAAUGACCAAGACUCCGUUCUCCGGAACAAUGGAGCGAGCAACCAACUUGUUGGAAAUCAUACAUACCGAUGUGUGCGGUCCAAUGAGCGUUGAGGCUCGCGGAGGAUAUCGUUAUGAUUCUCACUCUCACUGAUGACUUAAGUAGAUAUGGGUAUGUCUACUUAAUGAAACACAAGUCUGAGACCUUUGAAAAGUUCAAGGAAUUUCAGAAUGAGGUGGAGAAUCAACGUGACCGAAAGAUAAAGUUCCUACGAUCAGAUCGUGGAGGAGAAUAUUUAAGUCACGAAUUUGGCACACACUUAAGGAAAUGUGGAAUCGUUUCACAACUCACGCCGCCUGGAACACCUCAGUGAAACGGUGUGUCCGAACGUCGUAAUCGCACUCUAUUGGAUAUGGUGCGGUCUAUGAUGUCUCUUACCGAUUUACCGCUAUCAUUUUGGGGAUACGCUCUAGAGACAGCUACAUUCACUUUAAAUAGGGCACCGUCUAAAUCCGUUGAGACGACACCGUAUGAAUUAUGGUUUGGGAAGAAACCUAAGCUGUCGUUUCUAAAAGUUUGGGGAUGCGAUGCUUAUGUCAAGAAACUUCAACCUGAAAAGCUCGAACCCAAGUCGGAAAAAUGCGUCUUCAUAGGAUACCCUAAGGAAACUGUUGGGUAUACCUUCUACUUAAGAUCCGAGGGCAAGAUCUUUGUUGCCAAGAACGGAUGCUUUCUGGAAAAAGAGUUUCUCUCGAAAGAAGUAAGUGGGAGGAAAGUAGAACUCGAUGAAGUACUACCUCUCGAACAGGAAAGUGGUGCAGCUCAGGAAAAUGUUCCUGUGAUGCCCACACCAACUGAAGAGGAAACCAAUGAUGAUGAUCAAGGUACUUCGGAUCAAGUUGCUACUGAACUUCGUAGGUCCACAAGGACACGUUCCGCACCGGAGUGGUACGGCAACCCUGUCCUGGAAAUCAUGUUGUUAGACAACGGUGAACCUUCGAACUAUGAAGAAGCGAUGGCGGGCCCAGAUUCCAACAAAUGGCUUGAAGCCAUGAAAUCCGAGAUAGAAUCCAUGUAUGAAAACAAAGUAUGGACUUUGACAGACUUGCCCGAUGAUCGGCGAGCGAUAGAAAACAAAUGGAUCUUUAAGAAGAAGACGGACGCGGAUGGUAAUGUUACCAUCUACAAAGCACGACUUGUCGCUAAGGGUUAUCGACAAGUUCAAGGGAUUGACUACGACGAGACAUUCUCUCCCGUAGCAAAGCUAAAGUCCGUCUGAAUCAUGUUAGCAAUUGCCGCAUACUAUGAUUAUGAGAUAUGGCAGAUGGACGUCAAAACGGCAUUCCUUAACCGGCAUCUUAAGGAAGAACUGUAUAUGAUGCAGCCGGAAGGUUUUGUCGAUCCUAAGAACGCUAACAAAGUAUGCAAGCUCCAACGAUCCAUUUAUGGGCUGGUGCAAGCAUCUCGGAGUUGGAAUAUUCGCUUUGAUGAGAUGAUCAAAGCGUUUGGGUUUAUGCAGACUUAUGGAGAAGCCUGCGUUUACAAGAAAGUGAGUGGGAGCUCUGUAGCAUUUCUCAUAUUAUAUGUAGAUGACAUACUCUUGAUGGGAAAUAAUAUAGAAUUUCUGGACAUCAUUAAGGCCUACUUGAACAAAUGUUUUUCAAUGAAGGACCUUGGAGAAGCUGCUUAUAUAUUAGGCAUCAAGAUCUAUAGAGAUAGAUCGAGACGCCUCAUAGGUCUUUCACAAAGCACAUACCUUGAUAAGAUUUUGAAAAGGUUCAAAAUGGAUCAGUCCAAGAAAGGGUUCUUGCCUAUGUUACAAGGUGUGAGAUUGAGCUCGGCUCAGUCACCGACCACGGCAAAAGAUAAAGAAGAGAUGAGUGUCAUCCCCUAUGCUUCAGCCAUAGGAUCUAUUAUGUAUGCCAUGCUGUGUACCAGACCUGAUGUAAACCUUGCCGUGAGUUUGGUAGCAAGAUAUCAGAGUAAUCCCGGCAAGGAACACUGGACAACGGUCAAGAAUAUCCUGAAGUACCUGAAAAGGACAAAGGACAUGUUUCUCAUUUAUGGAGGAGACGAAGAGCUCGUCGUAAAGGGUUACGUCGACGCUAGCUUCGACUCAGAUCCGGAUGACUCUAAGUCACAAACCGGAUACGUGUAUAUGUUGAAUGGUGGAGCAGUAAGCUGGUGCAGCUACAAGCAGAGCGUCGUGGCGGGAUCUACGUGUGAAGCGGAGUACAUGGCAGCCUCGGAGGCAGCGCAUGAAGCGAUUUGGGUGAAGGAGUUCAUCACCGACCUAGGAGUCAUACCCAAUGCGUCGGGGCCAAUCAAACUCUUCUAUGACAACACUGGAGCUAUUGCCCUUGCCAAGGAGCCCAGGUUUCACAAGAAGACCAGGCACAUCAAGCGUCGUUUCAACUCCAUCCGUGAAAAUGUUCAAGAUGGAGACAUAGAAAUUUGCAAAGUACAUACGGAUCUGAAUGUCGCAGAUCCGUUGACUAAACCUCUCUCGCGAGCAAAACAUGAUCAACACCAGAACUCUAUGGGUGUUCGAUUCAUCACAAUGUAACUAGAUUGGUGACUCUAGUGCAAGUGGGAGACUGUUGGAAAUAUGCCCUAGAGGCAAUAAUAAAAGUAUUAUUAUAUUUCAUUGUUCAUGAUAAUUGUCUUUUAUUCAUGCUAUAACUGUAUUAUCCGGAAAUCGUAAUACACGUGUGAAUACAUAGACCACAAUACGUCCCUAGUGAGCCUCUAGUUGACUAGCUCGUUGUGAUCAACAGAUAGUCAUGGUUUCCUGGCUAUGGACAUUGGAUGUCGUUGAUAACGGGAUCACAUCAUUAGGAGAAUGAUGUGAUGGACAAGACCCAAUCCUAAGCAUAGCACAAAGAUCGUGUAGUUCGUUUGCUAGAGCUUUGCCAAUGUCAAGUAUCUCUUCCUUCGACCAUGAGAUCGUGUAACUCCUGGAUACCGUAGGAGUGCUUUGGGUGUAUCAAACGUCACAACGUAACUGGGUGACUAUAAAGGUGCACUACGGGUAUCUCCGAAAGUGUCUAUUGGGUUGACACGGAUCGAGACUGGGAUUUGUCACUCUGUAUGGCGGAGAGGUAUCUCUGGGCCCACUUGGUAAUGCAUCAUCAUAAUAAGCUCAAGGUGACCAAGGUGUUGGCUAUGGGAUCAUGCAUUAUGGUACGAGUAAAGUGACUUGCCGGUAACGAGACUGAACAAGGUAUUGGGAUACCGACGAUCGAGUCUCGGGCAAGUAACGUACCGAUUGACAAAGGGAAUUGUAUACAGGGUUUGAUCGAAUCCUCGACAUCGUGGUUCAACUGAUUAAAUCAUCGAGGAGCAUGUGGGAGCCAACAUGGGUAUCCAGACCCCGCUGUUGGUUAUUGCCCGAGAGUCGUCUCGGUCAUGUCUGCGUGUCUCCCGAACCCGUAGGGUCUACACACUUAAGGUUCGGUGACGCUAGGGUUGUAUGAAUAUGAGUAUGCAGCAUACCGAAUGUUGUUCGGAGUCCCGGAUGAGAUCCCGGACGUCACGAGGAGUUUUCGAAAUGGUCCGGAGGUAAAGAAUAAUAUAUAUGAAGUGGUAUUUCGGCCAUUGGGAAAGUUUCGGGGUCACCCGGUAAUGUACCGGGACCACCGGGAGGGUCCCGGGGGGGUCCACCAGGUGGGGCCACCCAUCCCGGAGGGCCCCAUGGGCUGACGUGGGAGGGGAGCCAGCCCAUAGUGGGCUGGUGCGGCCCCCUAGGCCCACCCCCUGCGCCUAGGGUUGAAACCCUAGGGUAGGGGGGGCGCACCACAUGCCUUGGGGGGCACUCCUCCCCCCUUGGCCGCCGCCCCCUUGGGAGAUCCAAUCUCCCAGGGCCGGCGCCCCCCCUGGGGUCCUAUAUAAAGGAGGGCAGGGGGGAGGGCAGCCACACCCAUUGCCUUGGCGCCUCCCUCCCCCUGCUACACCUCGUCCUCCUCCCGUAGACGCUUAGCGAAGCCCUGCUGGAGUUCUGCUGCAUCCACCACCACGCCGUCGUGCUGCUGGAUCAUCAUCAACCUCUCCUUCCCCCUUGCUGGAUCAAGAAGGAGGAGACGUCUCCCGUCCCGUACGUGUGUUGAAUGCGGAGGUGCUGUCCGUUCAGCACUUGGACAUCAGUGAUCUGAAUCACGUCGAGUAUGACUCCAUCAUCACCAUCCCCUUGCAAGCUUCCGCACGUGAUCUACAAGUGGUAUGUAGAUGCAAACUCACUCCCUUGACUCGUUCCUUAGAUGAACUCAUAGAUGGAUCUUGGUGAAACCGUAGGAAAAAUUUUAAUUUUCUGCAACGUUCCCCAACACCAUCUAGCUACGUCACUUUUGUGUUAGAUAGAGACGCAAAGGUUGGUUUUGUUUAGUCCCACCUCGGUUUCUUGCACACAAUUCAACCAGUUUAUAUACAUUUUUAAGUUUCCUGGUUAUCAAGGAGUUGUCCUAGGAAAUAAAGAAAGGAGAAUUCAAGGAAGGAAAGGAAAUUGAGAAACAGAAAAUAAUCGAGGGAAAAAUUAAGCACAUACAUGUUGAGGCCGUGCUAGCUGGGGAUGAGCUUGCCCAGCUAAAUAUGAGUUGUCAUUCAAAAAAAGAAUGAAGCAAACUGACUCCACAAGGUCACAGUAGUAUCUUUGGCAUAGGGGGCUAAACCUGAAUUUUUUUUGUGAGCUUUUGAUGCCCGAGAAAACCACAGUUAUUGAAAUUCUAAUGCAAGGCCUGCUUCCUGCUGCGCUGGGGAUUUUUCUAUGUCCAUGUUCAGUUGUCGGUGAAACUAAGAAUGUAAACGAAAAAAUAAAUAUCAUAUAUGACUUUGUUUUUAACAAGAACCGUGGUGAGCCCCAAACACUAUUUAGUACAAUAUUUUUAGAAUCUAGAAAAUAUCCAAAUAUCCCCACUCGAACAAGCCCAAAAAUAUAAUAGUUGUUGCGAAGGUAUGCUAUCUCUCUCCGAAUUUUGUGAGCGGUAUUGGCUAAACUUUACCGAGUUCCUAAUAUCUUUUAAGGAGAAGUUCGUAAUUUUAUUUUGUUUCAUGGAGGAAAGUAUGUUGAUGUAGGUAAAGAAAUAUUCUAUAAGAUUAGCAUGUCCUAUUUCGAUAAUUUUGGAUCUUAAAAAAAUUUGACUAAAAUUUGCAUGAACAACGAAUGUAUUUUUGCACAUAUUAUUAUAAAUACACUUGAAUAUAAACUGAUUUUCCCAUUGCAACGCACGGGGCAUUUGUGCUAGUAACAUUAAAAGGUUCAUCAUCUACUUCCUCAUGACGUUGACGGUUUAAAUGGCUUCUUUUGAGUAGGGUAUUUCGAUGCCCAGGCUCAUCUGCACCUGAUUAGAAAAAAAUUCGUAAAAAACUCAAAACAAAUUCAAAAAAUUCCAUUUUUUUGUGCGGUAGACAAUUUGAUGCGUAAGGCCCCUUCAAAUUUCAAUUCAUUUGAACAUCUGAGCAGCUCUCAGCAAAAAAGACAAAUCGGGCUAAAACAGUACAUGAACAGUAAACAUUUUUAUAGACCCCCAAUUUGUCUUUUUUGCUAAGAGCUCCUGAGAUGUCCAAAUAAUCUGACAAUUGAAGCGGACCUCACGCAUCAAAUUGUCUGCCGCACAAUUUUUUUUUUUGCAAUUUUCCUAGUAUUUGUUUUGAUUUUUUUGUCAGCGCGGGUGUAGAUGAGCUCGAGUGCAGAGAUGGAUUUUCGCUUUUCUUUUCUCUAGCAUUAUUAGCAACAAGCAACUAAGAACUGCCUGCGGAGCACAAAAUUCACGUGCCGUUUUUCUUCCAUCCGUCCGAAUUUCUUCUCGUGUCAUGUUAUAAUUCUUCCAUUCAGAUUUAGUUCAGUUUGAACUAAUUUGCUGCUUUUGCGGGCUUAUGCGGGAUGCCCGCUUGCAUCCCUAGGUACCAACCUAGAACACGUAGCGCGAGGGACUAGCGUUAACUCGUUUGUAAACAUCAGCUGAUCACCACUGCUGCUAAAGCGUGCCACGAACAGCCAGGCAAACAGCACAGCACCCGGCAGUCCGGCACCUCCCCGUGUGCAUGUCCGCGAACAGGAGAGGAUAAACUUUUGCCUGACCGUGCACAAUCCCCUGAAUGUUCCCCGGAGGCCGCCGCAGCAGCAGCAACCACGCUGGAUCACGUUCACAGGUCCGGCCGCGCCGGCGUCCCAUGGCUGAAACCUGAACCGAACUGCUGCGCGCAAGACGCGCCGGAGCCCCGGCGGAGAGGCGGCCCGGAUCCCGCCGGGCGGGCGGGGGCUCCAUCCGUUUCACUCCACACCCUCGGCGUGUGAUUAAAACGGCAAGCUGACUUUGGGAGCUCGGAUCGGAAGCACCGGGGCGUGGGCGCGUGGCCCGCCAUGCGCUAGGCCAGCGCACGGCUUUCUACUUUAUCAUCAGCGCGUCUCCUUAAAAUUCACCCUUGGUUACCGUCCCGAGGUAGAAGCAGAACGCAGCGCGUCGUCGUGCAGGACAAGCAUCGCCUGCGCCUUGGUCCCGAACUCCGGUUCAUCAUUAUCCACCGCGGCCGGCCGGGCUGCCAUUCCUCCUCCCCCGGUCCCCCCUAUCCAGGGACCGUUCGCAACGUAACGUAACGCGGAUUAUUUUUAGGGCGCUGAUAGGCGCCGGUGCGCCGGCCGAAAGUUUCGGCCGGUCUAGCCCAGGCCGUUGGAUGUGAGCCGCGCAGGUCGUUGGAUCCAGGAAAAAAAAA